This 867-nucleotide ribosomal RNA is filed under the name uncultured archaeon. RNAcentral's name for it is "bacterial SSU rRNA". It matches the Rfam family "Archaeal small subunit ribosomal RNA", at positions 1 to 878 of the family's 1478-position model. The record is from RNAcentral.
CUCCGGUUGAUCCUGCCGGACCCGACUGCUAUCAGAGUGGGACUAAGCCAUGCGAGUCAACAUAGCAAUAUGUGGCAUACGGCUCAGUAACACGUAGUCAACAUGCCCAGGGGACGUGGAUAACCUCGGGAAACUGAGGAUAAACCGCGAUAAGUCACUACUUCUGGAAUGGGUAAUGACUCAAAUCUACAUGGCCCCUGGAUUGGACUGCGGCCGAUCAGGCUGUUGGUGAGGUAAUGGCCCACCAAACCUGUAACCGGUACGGGCUCUGAGAGGAGGAGCCCGGAGAUGGGCACUGAGACAAGGGCCCAGGCCCUAUGGGGCGCAGCAGGCGCGAAACCUCUGCAAUAGGCGAAAGCUUGACAGGGUUACUCUGAGUGAUUUCCGUUAAGGAGAUCUUUUGGCACCUCUAAAAAUGGUGCAGAAUAAGGGGUGGGCAAGUCUGGUGUCAGCCGCCGCGGUAAUACCAGCACCCCGAGUGGUCGGGACGUUUAUUGGGCCUAAAGCAUCCGUAGCCGGUUCUACAAGUCUUCCGUUAAAUCCACCUGCUUAACAGAUGGGCUGCGGAAGAUACUAUAGAGCUAGGAGGCGGGAGAGGCAAGCGGUACUCGAUGGGUAGGGGUAAAAUCCGUUGAUCCAUUGAAGACCACCAGUGGCGAAGGCGGCUUGCCAGAACGCGCUCGACGGUGAGGGAUGAAAGCUGGGGGAGCAAACCGGAUUAGAUACCCGGGUAGUCCCAGCUGUAAACGAUGCAGACUCGGUGAUGAGUUGGCUUAUUGCUAACUCAGUGCCGCAGGGAAGCCGUUAAGUUUGCCGCCUGGGGAGUACGGUCGCAAGACUGAAACUUAAAGGAUUGGCGGGGGAGCA